AGGAAGAAGGAUACAAUGAGUUGUUUGUGACCUUGAGCUAGGCGUUUAUUUCACUUCUCAGCCUUUGUAAAAUGGAGAGUGGAACUAAAAUGGAGUGUGGGACGAGCGGAUCCCUGGAAGGUCCCUCCACCCCUAGCUUUUGAGGAGGAAGCCGAGAGAAAGAACGAGGCAGAGCAGAGGGUCAGAAGAGAAACAUUGGAGAUUUUCUCAGCCUUGAAUGAAGCCUGGACUUCAGGAAUGUCAUUAACAGCAGGACUUUUCAUGAUCAAUUCCAGUAACCCAGAUCUCAAGAUACGCCUCAAUAAAAUUCAAGUAGCCCUCAUUGGAACAAAGGUAUUGAUAUUUAUUUUUUGUUGUUCCUAAUUCUUAGAAUCUGACCCACUUUCUGAUGGUGGGAUUGGGGCUGCUUGGCUUUCAUAUUACCUUUUCCCAAGAAAAUCCCUUUUGCAAGAAUGCUACUCCAAAU
RNAcentral lists this long non-coding RNA (466 nucleotides) under Monodelphis domestica (gray short-tailed opossum). Its description in RNAcentral is "lncRNA (ENSMODG00000050549.1)". The record is from RNAcentral. Lineage: Eukaryota; Metazoa; Chordata; Mammalia; Didelphimorphia; Didelphidae.